CCCGAUGUGAACCUGCGGAAGGAUCUUA
This 28-nucleotide ribosomal RNA is filed under the name Phytophthora cinnamomi. RNAcentral describes it as "partial 18S ribosomal RNA". Lineage: Eukaryota; Oomycota; Peronosporomycetes; Peronosporales; Peronosporaceae. The record is from RNAcentral.